GCUGCAACUCGCCUGUAUGAAGUCGGAAUUGCUAGUAAUGGCAGGUCAGCAUACUGCCGUGAAUACGUUCCCGGGCCUUGUACACACCGCCCGUCACACCAUGAGAGUUGGGAAUACCCGAAGCCUGUGAGCUAACUUAUAGAGGCAGCAGUCGAAGGUAGAAUCAAUGAUUGGGGUGAAGUCGUAACAAGGUAAC
RNAcentral lists this ribosomal RNA (196 nucleotides) under uncultured bacterium. RNAcentral's name for it is "partial 16S ribosomal RNA". It matches the Rfam family "Bacterial small subunit ribosomal RNA", at positions 1304 to 1500 of the family's 1533-position model. The record is from RNAcentral.